RNAcentral lists this transfer RNA (72 nucleotides) under Camelus dromedarius (Arabian camel). It matches the Rfam family "tRNA". From Rfam's summary of the family: Transfer RNA (tRNA) molecules are approximately 80 nucleotides in length. Their secondary structure includes four short double-helical elements and three loops (D, anti-codon, and T loops). The record is from Rfam by way of RNAcentral. RNAcentral also lists the same sequence under 2 other names. Lineage: Eukaryota; Metazoa; Chordata; Mammalia; Artiodactyla; Camelidae.
GAGGGUAUAGCUCAGUGGUAGAGUGCAUGGCUAGAAGGCAUGAGGUCCUGGGUUCAAUCCUCUGUAUGUGCA